GGCUUUGCAUCAUCAGCUGAUCCUCCAGAGAACUGAGAAGGUUUAUAGUCCUGUGACUUCAACACUGCAGGACUCACAUCUGUCAGUCAACACAGCAGAAAGCACAACCACCAUGACUCUCAUCACCAUCCUCAUCUGGACGCUGACCUGCUGCUGUUUUACAGGAUGCAGCGGUCAGGUGACUGUGACUCAACCUCCAGUAGUGACAUUUACUCCUGGAUCUACUGUCACCCUGACCUGUAGGACCAACCAAGCUGUUGGUGGCUGUGGUGAUGGUCAGUGUAUGUUCUGGUAUCAACAGAAAUCUGGACAAACUCCAAAGCUCCUAAUUCGACAUGUAAGCAUAAGUCAUUCAGGAACACCAUCUCGAUUUAGUGGCAGUGGAAGCAGAUCUGACUUCUCUAUGACCAUUAGUGGAGUUCAGGCUGAAGAUGCAGCAGUUUACUACUGUAAGAGUGUGCAUAGCGGGCCAGUGUUCACACAAUGAUUUGUAGUCAUACAAAAACCUCCUUUAGUCAGACUGCAGAGACUCUGAGCUGUGACUGCAGCUGCUGAAGUAGGAGAGACUCUGACACAGACCAGUGAACACAGAGCAGACAUUAACCUCACCAAGCACUAAAUAAAGAAAUUAAUUUAAACACGUCAUGUCUAUUGAGGCAUUUCGAAAUAAGAAUUUUAAAAACAUCUGCUGUGAUCAAGUCAUUUUCUGUUAACAUUACAUUACUUGAAUAAUUACAUUACAUUCACAUGAAGAGUUUUGCUGUUUGUAUAAACAGGUGAAGCAUAAAUGUUUAUAUUUAUAUUCGUAUUAAGCUACUUGGUAAUGAUAAAAAAACAAUCUGUUUUAAGAUUUUUAUCAUUGUAUGUUGCCACCUGUAUAAUGA
Non-coding RNA from Maylandia zebra (zebra mbuna), 884 nucleotides. Lineage: Eukaryota; Metazoa; Chordata; Actinopteri; Cichliformes; Cichlidae. The record is from the annotation of a RefSeq genome assembly.